Molecule: long non-coding RNA, 446 nt
Organism: Sus scrofa (pig)
Lineage: Eukaryota; Metazoa; Chordata; Mammalia; Artiodactyla; Suidae
Source: RefSeq, a predicted model, not a curated record
UACCUACACCACAGCUCACAGCAACACUGGAUCCUUAACCCGCUGAGCAAAGCCAGGGGUCGAACCUGUGUCCUCAUGGAUGCUCAUCAUCAUUUCCACUGAGCCAUGAUGGGAACUCCCAACAUCAGAAGACUUUUUAACCUAAGCCACCAAUUUUCAAAAUUUCAGAAUUCCCGAGUAGAGUGGUUGAAAUGCCUUCACUUCAGAGAUUCUGAUUCGGUACCAGACGAGCAAGGACAGCCCUUCUGCCUCAGAGUCCACCGAGAUGGUUCAGACUAAGCCUGCUGGCCUUGGAAUGCCCAUUUCCUCCUGCGGAAACCACGAAAAAGGCUCUUGCUCAGCUGUGGCCCACCUCCCAGCCGACCCCGGCGCCUCUCCGAGUGGCCCUGCGAGAUGUCGCCUGUCAUCCCCCAACUGGGAGUGUAAUAAACUGUCUAUUAGUGGCA